GGGCGGAUCGCCCACGCGGCCAGCCGGGGCGUGUCGAGCGUCUCCAGGCCGAAGGCGCGCGGCCGGGUGCCCGGCUCCGCCGCCGGGUCCGGCCC
RNAcentral lists this transfer RNA (95 nucleotides) under Nonomuraea glycinis. RNAcentral describes it as "tRNA-Arg". Lineage: Bacteria; Bacillati; Actinomycetota; Actinomycetes; Streptosporangiales; Streptosporangiaceae. The record is from RNAcentral.